Molecule: unclassified non-coding RNA, 270 nt
Filed under: uncultured fungus
Lineage: Eukaryota; Fungi
Description: partial contains small subunit ribosomal RNA, internal transcribed spacer 1, and 5.8S ribosomal RNA
Rfam family: Eukaryotic small subunit ribosomal RNA (bases 1-73)
Source: RNAcentral
UCAAACUUGGUCAUUUAGAGGAAGUAAAAGUCGUAACAAGGUCUCCGUUGGUGAACCAGCGGAGGGAUCAUUACCGAGUUUGACAAACUCCCAAACCCCUGUGAACAUACCUAUCUUGUUGCCUCGGCGAUCAGCCCGCCCCGGCGGGCCCGCCAGAGGACCCCUAUAAACCCUCUGAAACCUGAAAAGUUAUUCUGAGUCUUGAAAAAGAAAUAAAUCAAAACCUUCAACAACGGAUCUCUUGGUUCUGGCAUCGAUGAAGAACGCAGC